Molecule: ribosomal RNA, 263 nt
Filed under: uncultured Lactobacillus sp.
Lineage: Bacteria; Bacillati; Bacillota; Bacilli; Lactobacillales; Lactobacillaceae
Description: partial 16S ribosomal RNA
Rfam family: Bacterial small subunit ribosomal RNA
Source: RNAcentral
AUCCGACUGAGUGGCGAACUGGUGAGUAACACGUGGGUAACCUGCCCAGAAGAAGGGGAUAACACCUGGAAACAGAUGCUAAUACCGUAUAACAACAAGAACCACAUGGUUCUUGUUUGAAAGCUGGCCUUUGUGCUAGUGCUUCUGGAUGGACCCGCGGCGUAUUAGCUAGUUGGUGAGAUAAUAGCUCACCAAGGCAAUGAUACGUAGCAGACCUGAGAGGGUAAUCGGCCACAUUGGGACUGAGACACGGCCCAGACUCC